This 467-nucleotide ribosomal RNA is filed under the name uncultured bacterium. Its description in RNAcentral is "partial 16S ribosomal RNA". It matches the Rfam family "Bacterial small subunit ribosomal RNA", at positions 28 to 506 of the family's 1533-position model. The record is from RNAcentral.
GACGAACGCUGGCGGCGUGCUUAACACAUGCAAGUCGAACGGAAAGGCCCUGCUUUUGUGGGGUGCUCGAGUGGCGAACGGGUGAGUAACACGUGAGUAACCUGCCCUUGACUUUGGGAUAACUUCAGGAAACUGGGGCUAAUACCGGAUAGGAGCUCCUGCUGCAUGGUGGGGGUUGGAAAGUUUCGGCGGUUGGGGAUGGACUCGCGGCUUAUCAGCUUGUUGGUGGGGUAGUGGCUUACCAAGGCUUUGACGGGUAGCCGGCCUGAGAGGGUGACCGGCCACAUUGGGACUGAGAUACGGCCCAGACUCAUACGGGAGGCAGCAGUGGGGAAUAUUGCACAAUGGGCGGAAGCCUGAUGCAGCAACGCCGCGUGCGGGAUGACGGCCUUCGGGUUGUAAACCGCUUUCGCAUGUGACGAAGCGUGAGUGACGGUAAUGGGUAAAGAAGCACCGGCUAACUACGU